GGAAUCUUCCACAAUGGGCGAAAGCCUGAUGGAGCAACGCCGCGUGUGUGAUGAAGGGUUUCGGCUCGUAAACACUGUUGUAAGAGAAGAAUGACAUUGAGAGUAACUGUUCAAUGUGUGACGGUAUCUUACCAGAAAGGAACGGCUAAAUACGNGCCAG
This 160-nucleotide ribosomal RNA is filed under the name uncultured bacterium. RNAcentral describes it as "partial 16S rRNA". It matches the Rfam family "Bacterial small subunit ribosomal RNA", at positions 358 to 511 of the family's 1533-position model. The record is from RNAcentral.